GCCCGCUUAGCUCAGUGGUAGAGCGCGUCACUCGUACCUCCCGCGUUAGCGGACGCUUUGAAGGCAUGACGAGGUCGGUUGUUCGAUCCAGCCAGCGGGCA
RNAcentral lists this transfer RNA (101 nucleotides) under Malassezia obtusa. RNAcentral describes it as "tRNA-Thr". It matches the Rfam family "tRNA". From Rfam's summary of the family: Transfer RNA (tRNA) molecules are approximately 80 nucleotides in length. Their secondary structure includes four short double-helical elements and three loops (D, anti-codon, and T loops). The record is from RNAcentral. Lineage: Eukaryota; Fungi; Basidiomycota; Malasseziomycetes; Malasseziales; Malasseziaceae.